UCCUGGUUCUUAGGACCAAGCAGCUCUCUCUUAAGUGAGGAGGAAGCCACCUGUGGAAUGGACCAUCUGAGUGGAGCAGAAAACCCUGCUGGGAAAGAGCAGAUUCUAGGUUUGCAUGUCUAGAAACAGGCCACCCAAACUGAGACAAUGGGAAGUUUGCGCCAAGUUUCAGAAGAAAGAGCUCCCCCUACCUGUUUCCUAGAGCAGCAGAAAAUGAGCAGGUCUGAGGUCACUUACGUAAUCAUUCAGUGAUGACUGGAAAUCAGUGCAGCAUGCUGCCUAUAAUUGCUACUCAGGGGAAGCAGAGUACUUUGUGCCAAAGGAGAACUCUAAGGACUGAAACACCUUGAUCCUGUAGACCUCUCUCUGAUGGUCUGGUUCUAUCCGAGCAUAGAACCUGGGUUAUUUGCAAUAAAGAAUGGAUUAUA
Marmota flaviventris (yellow-bellied marmot) is the source of this 428-nucleotide long non-coding RNA. RefSeq lists it as uncharacterized. NCBI's taxonomy places the organism in Eukaryota, Metazoa, Chordata, Mammalia, Rodentia, Sciuridae. The record is from RefSeq and is a predicted model, not a curated record.